AAACCGUUGAAAGGGAAGCGAAUGGAGUUAGCAAUUCGCCCCGUCAGAUUCAGCUGCUCGUGCGCCGCGACGUGCGUGCUCUCGAUCCGUUCUUGGACGAGACGCGCGCGGAUGCGGCGUAUGGACGGCGCACUUCUGGCGGGCGAGCGUCAGCGUCGGUUGUCGACGGGCGAUGAGGACGCGAGGAAGGUGGACCGGCGUUCGCGCCGGUUGUUAAGCCUCGUGCUCGUACGGCUCGACGGCGACCGUGGCUCUUUGAGGCGACGCGUGCCUGGCUGGCAACUCGUACGUUCGGUCCGACAUGUCGACUGUGGCGGACGGCACGCCUGUGCGCUCGAACUGCUGCCGGUCGAACGAACGAUGUUUGCACACUACGCGUCGAUGAUGCUGACGGCCAUACGGCUCUAUCCGACCCGUCUUGAAACACGGACCAAGGAGUCUAACAUGUGCGCGAGUCUCCGGGUGAUCGAAACCCGUGGGCGCAAUGAAAGUAAAGAUCGUCCUAGACGAUUGAGGUGAGAAGCGGGCACGUACGCGUGCUCGCCGCAUCAUCGACCGACCUAUUCUGCUCUCAGGAAGGUUUGAGUAAGAGCGUAUCUGUUGGGACCCGAAAGAUGGUGAACUAUGCCUGAAUAGGGUGAAGCCAGCGGAAACACUGGUGGAAGCUCGUAGCGAUUCUGACGUGCAAAUCGAUCGUCGAAUUUGGGUAUAGCGGCGAAAGACUAAUCGAACCAUCUAGUAGCUGGUUCCCUCCGAAGUUUCCCUCAGGAUAGCUGGAGUUCAUGUGUGCAGU
This 793-nucleotide ribosomal RNA is filed under the name Telesto sp. NTM-C012710. RNAcentral's name for it is "eukaryotic LSU rRNA". It matches the Rfam family "Eukaryotic large subunit ribosomal RNA", at positions 402 to 999 of the family's 3401-position model. The record is from RNAcentral. Lineage: Eukaryota; Metazoa; Cnidaria; Anthozoa; Malacalcyonacea; Clavulariidae.